AUACCAUGAUAAGGACACUUUUGAAGCAUGUUCUUGAAUUUGUUCCAAGCUUCAUCAAAGGAUUCGAUAUUUUCUUGCCGAAAUAUGGAUAUAUCAUGCUUUAAUUU
RNAcentral lists this small nucleolar RNA (107 nucleotides) under Olea europaea subsp. europaea. RNAcentral's name for it is "Plant small nucleolar RNA R71". It matches the Rfam family "Plant small nucleolar RNA R71". From Rfam's summary of the family: R71 is a member of the C/D box family of snoRNAs containing the C (UGAUGA) and D (CUGA) box motifs. Multiple nearly identical copies of this snoRNA have been identified in Arabidopsis, and it is thought to function as a 2'-O-ribose methylation guide for 18S ribosomal RNA. The record is from Rfam by way of RNAcentral. Lineage: Eukaryota; Viridiplantae; Streptophyta; Magnoliopsida; Lamiales; Oleaceae.